GCGAGUGUGGUGGAAUGGUAGACACGCUAUCUUGAGGGGGUAGUGGUUUAGAGCCGUACGGGUUCAAGUCCCGUCACUCGCACCA
Molecule: transfer RNA, 85 nt
Filed under: Leptotrichia sp.
Lineage: Bacteria; Fusobacteriati; Fusobacteriota; Fusobacteriia; Fusobacteriales; Leptotrichiaceae
Also listed under: 1 other name
Description: tRNA-Leu
Rfam family: tRNA
About the family: Transfer RNA (tRNA) molecules are approximately 80 nucleotides in length. Their secondary structure includes four short double-helical elements and three loops (D, anti-codon, and T loops). Further hydrogen bonds mediate the characteristic L-shaped molecular structure. tRNAs have two regions of fundamental functional importance: the anti-codon, which is responsible for specific mRNA codon recognition, and the 3' end, to which the tRNAs corresponding amino acid is attached (by aminoacyl-tRNA synthetases). tRNAs cope with the degeneracy of the genetic code in two manners: having more than one tRNA (with a specific anti-codon) for a particular amino acid; and 'wobble' base-pairing, i.e. permitting non-standard base-pairing at the 3rd anti-codon position.
Source: RNAcentral